Molecule: long non-coding RNA, 221 nt
Organism: Bos indicus x Bos taurus (hybrid cattle)
Lineage: Eukaryota; Metazoa; Chordata; Mammalia; Artiodactyla; Bovidae
Source: Ensembl
UGGUACUCAAGGGCCGUUGUCCAGACGGUGCAAAGACUGUUGUCGAUGCAUGUUUGCUGACAGUGACUGGAGUAAUGUAUAUUCAAUUCUGUGGGAGAAAUAACCAGCUACUGAAGUUUCCAAUAGGCAGCUUUCAUCCAGUUCCUCAGCACUGCUUUGCCUGUGGUGAAUCUGGCUCAGGUUAGAGAGGAUUGGAGAAAAAUAUUUCGAGCACAACGGUG